Molecule: long non-coding RNA, 1094 nt
Filed under: Sus scrofa (pig)
Lineage: Eukaryota; Metazoa; Chordata; Mammalia; Artiodactyla; Suidae
Description: lncRNA (ENSSSCG00055027451.1)
Source: RNAcentral
GAGAACAUUUUAGAGAGCGCCCUUUCUCUUUAGUCUCCAUUUUCUGCAAUCAGGAUAAUGCAGUGCAUUUCAGAGCCAUUUUCAUUUUUGAAGUGCUCUUUCAUCAUUAGCUAAUAAAUGCUCAUCAAUGAAUUUUCCCUCUGCGUCUUGAAAUUUGGAGGAGAAAGAAAAUCGCUUUCUAUUUCGCCCUCCAUCCCCUCCAAUCCUGGCAUCCACCGUCAUUCUGCUUUCAGCUUCUGAGUUCAUCAAGUGACUGUCAACUCGAGUAACACUGAGAUCUGGACAGGCAACAUGAUUCCAGAGAACAGCCUUUCUUUGACCCCUUCAUCCCCCCGAGAACUCAUGCUUGGCUUCCCAGUCCUCUGUCUCCGGUGAAAAACAUGGAGGAUUUGAACAGCAUGUUGCAUUGUUGACUGUCACUGUGUGCCUUGUCUCCAACCAAGGCGAUGAUUUGAGAUGGGGCCAGCCUUCAUCAGCGUCCUCCUCUUUCUAAACCUCAUUCCUUACGCCGAAUACCCUAGAAAAGUAGGGUAACAAAUUUGGCACUUCGGCUGGACUAGGAGGCAAAGGACAAUGGCAGCCCUGGCUUGACCGUCUGAUUUGGAUUUCAAGGGUGUUUGUUCUGAAAUUCCAACAAAAUGACUAAUUUGACUAGACCUGUGGUGAUCGAAGAUGCUGGUGUUCCCCAUCCUGCUGUUCUCACUUCUCCAGGACCGAGGCCCCGUGGAGGGAACCAAGAUCCUAGACCAUCCCUUAGACAUGAACUGGUUCAUACCUUGCCAGCUGCAUCUCCCUUGCUUCUUCCAGGACAGAGUGGGUUGAAAGAGCCAGCAGGAACUGAAAAGCAUUGUAAACUAAGGAGGAAAAGUAACAAAGAGCUUGAAGACUUUCAUGGAGCCCAGGCCCUGGACGGAGGCAGGCGACAUCAGAGAACCAAGAAAGCUGAGGGGCAGCCAGGAGGCACCUGUGGCUGCAGAGCCCAGACUUGUCUUUGGAAAAGACGCAGAAGAGCCAGUAAACUUGGCUUCCUCACUUUGGCUCCUCAUGUGAGUAUAACUUAUAUUUCUAACUAUUAUGCAAGUGUCAUUAAAUAG